UACGGAGGGUGCAAGCGUUGUCCGGAAUUAUUGGGCGUAAAGAGCUCGUAGGCGGUUUGUCGAGUCUGCUGUGAAAGUUCGGGGCUCAACCCCGGAACUGCAGUGGGUACGGGCAGACUAGAGUGCGGUAGAGGAGACUGGAAUUGCUGGUGUAGCGGUGGAAUGCGCAGAUAUCAGGAGGAACACCAGUGGCGAAGGCGGGUUUCUGGGCCGCAACUGACGCUGAGGAGCGAAAGCGUGGGGAGCGAACAGG
RNAcentral lists this ribosomal RNA (253 nucleotides) under uncultured bacterium. Its description in RNAcentral is "partial 16S ribosomal RNA". It matches the Rfam family "Bacterial small subunit ribosomal RNA", at positions 524 to 776 of the family's 1533-position model. The record is from RNAcentral.